CCUACGGGCGGCAGCAGUGAGGAAUAUUGGUCAAUGGGCGCAGGCCUGAACCAACCAAGUCGCGUGAGGGAAGACUGCCCUAUGGGUUGUAAACCUCUUUUAUAAGGGAAGAAUAAUGACUACGUGUAGUCAGAUGCCCGUACCUUAUGAAUAAGCAUCGGCUAACUCCGUGCCAGCAGCCGCGGUAAUACGGAGGAUGCGAGCGUUAUCUGGAUUUAUUGGGUUUAAAGGGUGCGCAGGCGGAAGAUCAAGUCAGCGGUAAAAUUGAGAGGCUCAACCUCUUCGAGCCGUUGAAACUGGUUUUCUUGAGUGAGCGAGAAGUAUGCGGAAUGCGUGGUGUAGCGGUGAAAUGCAUAGAUAUCACGCAGAACUCCGAUUGCGAAGGCAGCAUACCGGCGCUCAACUGACGCUCAUGCACGAAAGUGUGGGUAUCGAACAGGAUUAGAUACCCCUGUAGUC
This 459-nucleotide ribosomal RNA is filed under the name uncultured bacterium. Its description in RNAcentral is "partial 16S ribosomal RNA". It matches the Rfam family "Bacterial small subunit ribosomal RNA", at positions 338 to 795 of the family's 1533-position model. The record is from RNAcentral.